This 253-nucleotide small nucleolar RNA is filed under the name Torulaspora delbrueckii CBS 1146. The record is from RNAcentral. Lineage: Eukaryota; Fungi; Ascomycota; Saccharomycetes; Saccharomycetales; Saccharomycetaceae.
AACGCAAAUUUCACGGCCAUUCACAACAUAUGAUAGCAUCUCACCGAGGUUGAACCCUUCCGAGGCGUUCUGACCCAUGACCCAUGUAGAUAUUUGUUGUCACUUAUUUAUUUAAGUUGUCUGUUUGGACUGGAGACUAAUCUUUACUGAUCUUGGGUGCAACGGUCCAUCUGUUGUCUGUCUUUUGUACAGAUCUAAGGGAUAGCCUUCGUGCUCCCGUAUGGGGAUUGUUGCAAGGAUCAUUAAUACAUCU